Molecule: ribosomal RNA, 274 nt
Filed under: uncultured Oscillospiraceae bacterium
Lineage: Bacteria; Bacillati; Bacillota; Clostridia; Eubacteriales; Oscillospiraceae
Description: partial 16S ribosomal RNA
Rfam family: Bacterial small subunit ribosomal RNA
Source: RNAcentral
AGAAAGAUGAGCUUGCUCAUUUUUCUUAGUGGCGGACGGGUGAGUAACACGUGAGCAACCUGCCUUUCAGAGGGGGAUAACGUUUGGAAACGAACGCUAAUACCGCAUAAAAUAUCUAUGUGGCAUCACAGGGAUAUCAAAGGAGCAAUCCGCUGAGAGAUGGGCUCGCGGCCGAUUAGAUAGUUGGCGGGGUAAGGGCCCACCAAGUCGACGAUCGGUAGCCGGACUGAGAGGUUGAACGGCCACAUUGGGACUGAGACACGGCCCAGACUCC